This 460-nucleotide ribosomal RNA is filed under the name uncultured bacterium. RNAcentral describes it as "partial 16S ribosomal RNA". It matches the Rfam family "Bacterial small subunit ribosomal RNA", at positions 338 to 795 of the family's 1533-position model. The record is from RNAcentral.
CCUACGGGAGGCAGCAGUGAGGAAUAUUGGUCAAUGGGCGGAAGCCUGAACCAGCCAAGUAGCGUGCAGGAUGACGGCCCUACGGGUUGUAAACUGCGUUUAUACGGGAAUAACGCGCCUUACGUGAAGGGCUUUGCAUGUACCUUAUGUAUAAGGACCGGCUAAUUCCGCUCCAGCAGCCGCGGCUAUACGGAAGGUCCGGGCGUUAUCCGGAUUUAUUGGGUUUAAAGGGAGCGUAGGCCGCAUGUCAAGCGUGCUGUGAAAUGUCCGGGCUCAACCCGGGACUUGCAGCGCGAACUGGCGUGCUUGAGUGCGCGGGAGGCAGGCGGAAUUCGUGGUGUAGCGGUGAAAUGCUUAGAUAUGACGAAGAACCCCGAUUGCGAAGGCAGCUUGCUGCAGCGGAACUGACGCUGAUGCUCGAAAGCGCGGGUAUCGAACAGGAUUAGAUACCCUAGUAGUC